AUUGAACGCUGGCGGCAUGCCUAACACAUGCAAGUCGAACGGCAGCACAGCAGUAGCAAUACUGUGGGUGGCGAGUGGCGGACGGGGUGAGGAAUACGUCGGAAUCUGCCCAGUCGUGGGGGAUAACUAGCCGAAAGGUUAGCUAAUACCGCAUACGACCGAGAGGUGAAAGCGGGGGACCGGCAAGGCCUCGCGCGAUUGGAUGAGCCGACGUCGGAUUAGCUAGUUGGCGGGGUAAAGGCCCACCAAGGCGACGAUCCGUAGCUGGUCUGAGAGGAUGAUCAGCCACACUGGAACUGAGACACGGUCCAGACUCCUACGGAGGCAGCAGUGGGGAAUAUUGGAC
This 346-nucleotide ribosomal RNA is filed under the name uncultured bacterium. Its description in RNAcentral is "bacterial SSU rRNA". It matches the Rfam family "Bacterial small subunit ribosomal RNA", at positions 29 to 369 of the family's 1533-position model. The record is from RNAcentral.